GAUGUUUAAACGACCAACUCCUCAAAUGUGAGUAAAUCAGCCGGCUAACAGAGUCCAGUGACAGCGACGGGGAGGGAAUUAACGACGGUGUUCAGGAUGCAGGUUGUGACUCAUUAGUGGAUUGUGAGACCUUUUUAAAAAGCAAAUGAAAGAGAAAAUGCCAGAAUGCAUUGCAUGUGGAAAGGAUAUAACUUGCUUGAAUGACUGAAACUGCACCUUCUGAAGAUACCUGUGUAAUAAAAGAGUUAUGAAUCCUUUCCUCACAGGCAAAGGACACUUCCCUAAACCUUUUCCCCCUUACCUAAAACUGUACGUAAAUUUUCUGAUUUAUUUUUACUCCCCAAAUUUAUGAAUAACUGACCAGAAAUUUGACUUAAUUGGAAUUGUGUUAAACCUUAUCACAUUCACUAA
This is a long non-coding RNA of Rhinopithecus roxellana (golden snub-nosed monkey), 411 nucleotides long. RefSeq lists it as uncharacterized. The record is from RefSeq and is a predicted model, not a curated record. The transcript has 3 exons. NCBI's taxonomy places the organism in Eukaryota, Metazoa, Chordata, Mammalia, Primates, Cercopithecidae.